CAAUAGCGUAUAUUAAAGUUGUUGCAGUUAAAAAGCUCGUAGUUGGAUUUGUGGCGUACGGUGUGUUCCGGGCACUUGUUGUCUGAGUAACCUGCUGUUGCCAUCCUUGGGUGGAACCUGUGUGGCAUUAGGUUGUCGUGCAGGGGAUGCCCAUCAUUUACUGUGAAAAAAUUAGAGUGUUCAAAGCAGGCUUAUGCCGUUGAAUAUAUUAGCAUGGAAUAAUGAGAUAGGACUUUUUUGCUAUUUUGUUGGUUUGCGCAAAGAGGUAAUGAUUAAUAGGGACAGUUGGGGGUAUUCGUAUUCCAUUGUCAGAGGUGAAAUUCUUGGAUUUUUGGAAGACGAACUACUGCGAAAGCAUUUACCAAGGAUGUAUUCAUUAA
Molecule: ribosomal RNA, 380 nt
Filed under: uncultured eukaryote
Lineage: Eukaryota
Description: partial 18S ribosomal RNA
Rfam family: Eukaryotic small subunit ribosomal RNA
Source: RNAcentral